This 896-nucleotide ribosomal RNA is filed under the name uncultured archaeon. RNAcentral describes it as "bacterial SSU rRNA". It matches the Rfam family "Archaeal small subunit ribosomal RNA", at positions 17 to 921 of the family's 1478-position model. The record is from RNAcentral.
CCGGACCUGACUGCUAUCGGAUUGGUACUAAGCCAUGCGAGUCAUUGUAGCAAUACAAGGCGGACGGCUCAGUAACACGUAGUCAACCUAACUCGUGGACGUGGAUAGCCUCGGGAAACUGAGAAUAAACCACGAUAGAUCAUAGUGCCUGGAAUGGCUUAUGGUCCAAACAGUUUACUGCCAUGGGAUGGGACUGCGGCCUAUCAGCUUGUUGGUGAGGUAAUGGCCCACCAAGGCGAUUACAGGUACGGGCUCUGAGAGGAGAAGCCCGGAGAUGGGUACUGAGACACGGACCCAGGCCCUAUGGGGCGCAGCAGGCGAGAAACCUUAGCAAUGUGCGAAAGCACGACUGGGUCAGUCCGAGUGAUUCCUGAUAAAGGAGUCUUUUGCCUGUCCUAAAAGCACAGGUGAAUAAGGGGUGGGCAAGUCUGGUGUCAGCCGCCGCGGUAAUACCAGCACCUCGAGUGGUCAGGACGUUUAUUGGGCCUAAAGCAUCCGUAGCCGGCUCUGCAAGUCUUCGGUUAAAUCCACCUGCUCAACAGAUGGGCCGCUGGAGAUACUACAGAGCUAGGGAGUGGGAGAGGCAGACGGUAUUCAGUGGGUAGGGGUAAAAUCCUCUGAUCCAUUGAGGACCACCAGUGGCGAAGGCGGUCUGCCAGAACACGUUCGACGGUGAGGGAUGAAAGCUGGGGGAGCAAACCGGAUUAGAUACCCGGGUAGUCCCAGCUGUAAACGAUGCAAACUCGGUGAUGCAUUGGCUUAUGGCCAAUGCAGUGCCGCAGGGAAGCCGUUAAGUUUGCCGCCUGGGAAGUACGGACGCAAGUCUGAAACUUAAAGGAAUUGGCGGGGGAGCACCACAAGGGUGAAGCCUGCGGUUCAAUUGGAGUCAACGCCGG